AGAGUUUGAUCAUGGCUCAGGAUGAACGCUGGCGGCGUGGAUAAGGCAUGCAAGUCGAAUGGGUUUAGACCCAUGGCAAACGGGUUCGGAUAACAUAGGAAUUUGCCCCGAAGUCGCGGAUAAUCUGGAGAAAUCCAGGAUAAUACGCGAUAUGUUCUACGGAAUAAAGAUUUAUCGCUUCGGGAGAAGCCUGUGUCCUAUCAGCUAGUUGGUGAGGUAAUAGCUCACCAAGGCUAUGACGGGUAGGGGGUGUGAGAGCACGGCCCCCAACAUUGGAACUGAGACACUGUCCAAACACCUACGGGUGGCUGCAGUCGAGAAUAUUCCACAAUGGGCGAAAGCCUGAUGGAGCGACGCCGCGUGCAGGAUGACGGUCUUCGGAUUGUAAACUGCUUUUCUCAGGGAAGAACGUAAGUGACUGUACCUGAGGAAUAAGAGGUUACUAACUCUGUGCCAGCAGUAGCGGUAAUACAGAGACCUCAAGCGUUAUCCGGAUUUAUUGGGCGUAAAGCGCAGGUAGGCGGGUCUGUUAGUCGUGUGUUAAAGCUUGGGGCUUAACCCCAAAGAUGCACACGAAACGGCAGAUCUGGAGGAUGUGAGAGAUCAGUGGAAUUUAUGGUGUAGUAGUGAAAUGCGUUGAUAUCAUAAAGAACACCCAAGGCGAAGGCAACUGAUUGGCACAUUUCUGACGCUGAGCUGCGAAAGCGUGGGUAGCGAAUGGGAUUAGAUACCCCAGUAGUCC
This 742-nucleotide ribosomal RNA is filed under the name uncultured bacterium. Its description in RNAcentral is "bacterial SSU rRNA". It matches the Rfam family "Bacterial small subunit ribosomal RNA", at positions 8 to 796 of the family's 1533-position model. The record is from RNAcentral.